GUUAGAGUUCACGUCACAUCGAACCACCUCGUGAUGAUGAACUCCGCUAACGCCAAGGAACGGCUGUGUUUUCAAAAUAAAAACAUGAUUUAUGCGCACAUAAAUUUUUAACAGCCUUGGUGGACUCGGUUAAAUGCCUCGACCAAGGUAUUCUCGAGAAUGAUUUUGGCAGGAGCCAAGCUUUUAAGAUACUCAUAAGCCAUGUUGAUUAUUUAAAUGAAAUGAAUAUUUAUGUUAUGAAAUACAUAUUGAGAUGGAAUAUUUUAAUCGUCUCCAUUUACUCG
RNAcentral lists this long non-coding RNA (284 nucleotides) under Theobroma cacao (cacao). Its description in RNAcentral is "long non-coding RNA (TCAC_LNC002424)". Lineage: Eukaryota; Viridiplantae; Streptophyta; Magnoliopsida; Malvales; Malvaceae. The record is from RNAcentral.